Molecule: long non-coding RNA, 329 nt
Filed under: Triticum aestivum (bread wheat)
Lineage: Eukaryota; Viridiplantae; Streptophyta; Magnoliopsida; Poales; Poaceae
Description: long non-coding RNA (TAES_LNC012337)
Source: RNAcentral
AUAUGCACCACCUAAACCACCACCAUAACUGCCACCAAAACGACUGGAGUAGAGCGACGAUUCUCCAUGAUGACCUCCAAAUGCUCCAUCAUAACCACCAUAGCCGCUACUAUAGUCACCAGGAUAAGCACUACUGUAGCUGCCAGGAACAUAAGCACUACUGUAGCUGCCAGGAACAUAAGCACUACUGUAGCUGCCAGGAACAUAAGCACUACUGUAGCUGCCAGGCCUAGCGCCAAAACCAGGUGAUUUAUAGGGGGCAAAGCGACCACCAUUGUUGUAACGGCUGGCAAAUCCAUCAUAACCAUCUGCAUAAGGAGAUCUCCUAG